UUGACCUCAAAUCAGGUAGGACUACCCGCUGAACUUAAGCAUAUCAAUAAGCGGAGGAAAAGAAACUAACAAGGAUUCCCCUAGUAACUGCGAGUGAAGCGGGAAAAGCUCAAAUUUAAAAUCUGUUGGCAUUGGCCAUCCGAGUUGUAAUCUAGAGAAGUGUUACCCGUGCUGGACCGUGUACAAGUCUCCUGGAAUGGAGCAUCACAGAGGGUGAGAAUCCCGUCUUUGACAUGGACUACCAGUACUUUUGUGGUAUGCUCUCAAAGAGUCGAGUUGUUUGGGAAUGCAGCUCAAAAUGGGUGGUAAAUGCCAUCUAAAGCUAAAUAUUGGCGAGAGACCGAUAGCGAACAAGUACCGUGAGGGAAAGAUGAAAAGAACUUUGGAAAGAGAGUUAAACAGUACGUGAAAUUGCUGAAAGGGAAACGCUUGAAGUCAGUCGCGUUGACUUGGAAUCAACCCUGUUUUUGCUGGGUGUACUUAUCUUGUCAAYGGGUCAGCAUCAAUUUUGAUCGUUGGAUAAAGUUGUUGGGAAUGUGGCAUCUUUUGGAUGUGUUAUAGCCCAAUGAUGCAUGCAGCGGUUGGGAUUGAGGAACUCAGCACGCCACAAGGCCAGGUUUCGACCAUGUCCGUGCUUAGGAUGCUGGCAUAAUGGCUUUAAUCGACCCGUC
Molecule: ribosomal RNA, 671 nt
Filed under: Pseudosperma sororium
Lineage: Eukaryota; Fungi; Basidiomycota; Agaricomycetes; Agaricales; Inocybaceae
Description: eukaryotic LSU rRNA
Rfam family: Eukaryotic large subunit ribosomal RNA
Source: RNAcentral